ACUUGAUUAUGGCUCAGUUGGUAGAGAAUUGCGUUGCCUGCGCAAAGGUCGUGGGUUCAAAUCCUAGGGAAAGUA
Danionella cerebrum is the source of this 75-nucleotide non-coding RNA. The record is from the annotation of a GenBank genome assembly. Lineage: Eukaryota; Metazoa; Chordata; Actinopteri; Cypriniformes; Danionidae.